GGGUUGUUAGCUCAGUCGGUAGAGCAGUUGACUCUUAAUCAAUUUGUCGCGGGUUCGAUCCCCUCACAACCCACCA
RNAcentral lists this transfer RNA (76 nucleotides) under Gilliamella apicola. RNAcentral's name for it is "tRNA-Lys (CTT) (tRNA-Lys-CTT-1-1)". It matches the Rfam family "tRNA". Rfam says of the family: Transfer RNA (tRNA) molecules are approximately 80 nucleotides in length. Their secondary structure includes four short double-helical elements and three loops (D, anti-codon, and T loops). Lineage: Bacteria; Pseudomonadati; Pseudomonadota; Gammaproteobacteria; Orbales; Orbaceae. RNAcentral also lists the same sequence under 2 other names. The record is from RNAcentral.